GUCCUGAUACCUGUCCUGCCAACACUGUGAAGUCUACAGGAGCCUGGGGUGAUGGCAGUCUGGAUAAUGGAUAGUCUGUUGUUUUUUAAUAGACUUGGAAAUCUGCACUCAGGUUUCCACUUGGCUGACAGACACAUCCAAGCAUCAUUUGCUGACAAGCCCUGAACUUGCUGAAAGCUGAUAUGGACCAGUUCAUGCUAUCUCUUCAGCUGGUCAAUAAAAUGCUAACAUUCUGGCUUCCCAGGGCCCUGACAACAAUGUCCCAAGGUCAGCAGGAAGUAAUUACAGAAGAGAAAACAUCGCCCUUGUCCGUCGCCCCUCACCCCCAUGUUAGAUCAAAAUGGAAUUUCUUGUCAUAGGGGACCUGAGAUAAAGUAAUAACUGGUCCCCAUUCUCAUUUCCAAGUUCCUUGAGGAUAAGGAACUCUAUCAACAAUCACAGGGAUUUUGGCCCUUGUGCUUCUGCUAAUUACUGUUGGCUCUUAUGUCACUGAUGUCUUAACUGAAUGAUGACUCCUGUCUGGGUACCACUAAACUGAGGAUGCUAGAAUCCCAAUAUCAGCCCCUGAACCCAUGACACACUUGCAGAUGGCAACAACCGAGUAAGGGAAGCCCACUUUGCCAUUGAUGAUGGGAAACCUCUUAUGUCCUGGUCCAAUUAGUCUCCAAAAUUAUCUAAUACCCUGGUGAUAAAGUCUUUUACCAAAAAGAAACGUCUCCAUGGUUGGAGGCGAUACACCACUCAAAGGGGGAAUGAAAGGACCAAGCAGACGCCAUAACAGGCUGCUCAGUCUUCUCUCAGAGAUCAGGCCUCAAUUUCAGUUUCCUGAGACUUAGGCAAGCAGUUUCUGGGAGGGCUAUGACAUAGUCCUUGCAGUAGCUCCCUUUCUGCACGUACUCUGACUGCUCAAGAUUCAGCCAGUUGUUUACUGUCUGGGACCCUUCACCAACGUGUGAGGCCAGCCAGCCCCCAUGGCAGCUCAAGGACAGAGCCUGGGACUUGUCCAGGCCUGCCCCAAAAUAACUGUAACCCCCAACCAGUAAAUUCAAAGGUUACACACCCUCACUCAAUCAUAUGAUGCCAAGGCUUGUACCGCCCUGUUUGCGGUUUUUCCCUUUAAAAACCCCUCACUCUGAGGGCUCAGGGCCGUCCUCCUUCACCUGGCUAGCCAGUGUGUUGGACGAGGAUCAAGCCCGGGCUUGCUUGUUAUCAAUAAAUCCCUGUGUGUUUUACGUCG
Peromyscus californicus insignis is the source of this 1237-nucleotide long non-coding RNA. RefSeq lists it as uncharacterized. NCBI's taxonomy places the organism in Eukaryota, Metazoa, Chordata, Mammalia, Rodentia, Cricetidae. The transcript has 2 exons. The record is from RefSeq and is a predicted model, not a curated record.